AUAUAGUAUUUACUUUGAAUAAAUUAGAGUGCUUUAAGCAGAUUGAGAUUUAAAUUUUAAAUCUUUUUUGACGUUUGAAUAAUUUAGCAUAGAAUAAAAUAAUAAGAUUUGAAAGAUAAGAUUUGGUAAUUAUGUAGCAAAUAAUGAUAAAUAGGAAUAGUUGGGGGUAUUUGUAUUGAAUAGUCAGAGGUGAAAUUCAAGGAUUUGUUCAAGACAAACAUCAGCGAAAGCAUUUACCAAAGAUAUUUCCAUUAAUCAAGAACGAAAGUUAGGGGAUCGAAGAUGAUCAGAUACCGUCGUAGUCCUAACCAUAAACAAUACCAACCAAAGAUAAGAGGUUGUAAAAAUUAUAAGAAGAUUUUUUUCUUUUUUAUAAAACCAACUCCUUUUUGAAUUUUAGAGGGAAACCAUUGAGUAUUUGGGUUCUGGGGGGAGUACGGUAGCAAGGCUG
Molecule: ribosomal RNA, 451 nt
Filed under: uncultured eukaryote
Lineage: Eukaryota
Description: partial 18S ribosomal RNA
Rfam family: Eukaryotic small subunit ribosomal RNA
Source: RNAcentral